UCUUCCAAAAGUAAUCAUAUUCAAAAAGUCAUGGAUAUCCAUAUUAUCUGCUGGAUAACCCAUUUUUUAUCCAUAUUAGUUAUGGGUCAAGUCGGAUAAUUUAUCCGUUUUUAAAUUACCCAUUUCAACUUGCUCAUAUCCGAUCCGACCCGCAUGUUUGCCCCCCUAAUCUUUCCCAUUCACUGAAGCAUCACCCAUCCCUUUCCCUCACACUAAAAGCUCGACACUCAUAUUUGACAGAAAAUUUCAAAUGAAUCUAUACUAUAUUAAAAACAUGAAUACCCUUAACGAAAUAUGGUUCAUCUUUUUUAUCUUUUAAAAUUUGAUUUUACAUUAGACAAAAUUGUCAUUUACUCAUUUUCCUAACAUUUAGGACAUAAAAUUAAAUAAAUUUUUGGAUAUUAUAUCAUUCCAUAUUUGAACUAUAUAAAAGCUCCUAAUAUUUAGGAAUUUCAAGUCAAGAAAAAUUUAACUUAUAUAAAUACAUUACUUAUUUCAAUUUAGGAGAAUUAAUUAUUAGCGUGUCAUUACCGUUAUCAAUAUGUUUCUUCCAUAAGAAAAAGUGAUUUAACUUAUAUAAAUACAUUACUUAUUUCAAUUUAGGAGAACUAACUAUUAGCAUACCAUUACCGCUAUCAAUAUGUUUCUUCCAUAUAGAAAAGUGAUCUUUAACUUUUAAAAAUUUAAUCCCCUCACGUCAAAUUAUAGACAUAUAAUUUAUUUUAUAAAUAUGACUAUGUUUCUAUCUCAAGACACAACUCGACAUUUAUAAAACUUAAAAAUAGAAAUAAUGCCAACAAUUUUAUUUAUUGAAAAUCGACGGGGAUUUUAUUUGUCUUUGGACACAUAGAAUUACUUUUGAAAACUAUUGAUUUGGUUAUCUACUAUAUGUCAAUUUUUAAAUUAAAUAUAUAUUCUGAAAGUAGAGAAAUACUAUUAACGUUUUAGAUUAAAUCUAAUAAAAAGUAAUAAUAUUUAAAGUACCUAAAAACAUAAAAAUUUAUGGAGUAAUUAUGUGAAGUUAAUUGCCCAUAGAGUUGAAAUUGGUUGACAUAUCCACUUUUAUACAUUUAAAAAACUAAAUUAUUCCUUCAACAAAUAAAUCCAUGUUAAAAAUUAAAAUUAAUACUUAAUUUUUUUUCUAAUAUUUAGAUCUAUUAAACAAAUUAAAUUCUACCAUAAUUUUGAUGGAAUGUGAUUUAUGGAUCAUACAUUUGCAUUAAAAGAAUUUGAUAAUAUAUAUAUUAUAAAAAUACGAAAUUAUAAUAUGAGUUGAUAUUAAUUUUUAACCCUUCAUAAAUGCAUUUUAUGUCAACAACAAUAAUUAUGACUCAGUCCUAACUCCGCCUCUGUGAGAUCGCUUACAUUGGCUGUCCCAAGCUAGCAUAAAGGAGGACAAUUACGGUAGGCAGCCGGCCAACAUAAAACUUGCUAAUUCAUAAUGAAUUCAUGUAAGAUAAAAUCAUAAUUAUAAUUAAUAAUUAUGUUUUGACAUAACUAAAAUUUAAAACUUUGUGCACUUCUAUAGGGACAAAGCUUCUUCCUUUAUUGAGAUUGUUGAAUAAAAUCGACAAUCAUCAUUCUCACGAUUUUAUAUUAUUUUUUUGUUAUCUUUUAUAUAACUCAAAACUUUAAUAUAAUGCUUAUGAGAUUUUUUUAAAACUUUUGUUUUUUCAGACGAGGUUCGCGUACUCCUAAGACUAGUUGAAGAAAUAACCUAGUACUGAGCAUCUGCAAUUAUUCUUGCCAUCCAGGGAAUGGAAGAAAAAAAAGAUGCAAGACGCACAUUCCAGCUCCGUCUAGUACCACUUAAGUUCUCAUUCAGUCACAUCAAAAUAGUAAACAGUUUUAAUAUUCAGAAGAAGAGAAAAGACAAAUACUGUUAACUACAUCCGUUUGAAAUCUCCUAUAUCGCAAAGUUACAGAACUCGACGAACAUUGGGUGCAUACAGCAUGAAGAUUAGAUCAUCUGACCAGCUCAACAUAAUAGAAACCGCCUUAGCCCAGUGAUACUUGUAACACCACCAUUCACGCAUGCAGGAGA
RNAcentral lists this long non-coding RNA (2044 nucleotides) under Nicotiana tabacum (common tobacco). RNAcentral's name for it is "long non-coding RNA (NTAB_LNC009429)". The record is from RNAcentral. Lineage: Eukaryota; Viridiplantae; Streptophyta; Magnoliopsida; Solanales; Solanaceae.